GUGGAGCUGUCAAGAAGCUUUGAUGCCUAGAUUUCCGAAUGGGGCAACCCAGUAUAUAGAGAUAUAUACUACCAUAAUGGAGCGAACGAGGGGAAUUGAAACAUCUUAGUACCCUCAGGAAAAGAAAUCAAUAGAGAUUGCGUCAGUAGCGGCGAGCGAAAGCGCAAGAGGGCAAACCCAGUGCUUGCACUGGGGGUUGUAGGACUGCAGUGUGCAAGAGGAAAGGUUAGCAGAACACUCUGGAAAGUGUAGCCAUAGAGGGUGAUAGUCCCGUAUGCAAAAACCUAACCUUAGCUAGCAGUAUCCUGAGUAGGGCGGGACACGAGAAAUCCUGUCUGAAGCUGGGUAGACCACUAUCCAACCCUAAAUACUCCUACCAGAUCGAUAGCGAACAAGUACCGUGAGGGAAAGGUGAAAAGAACGGCGGUGAGCCGAGUGAAAUAGAACCUGAAACCAUUUGCUUACAAUCAUUCAGAGCACUAUGUAGCAAUACAGUGUGAUGGACUGCCUUUUGCAUAAUGAGCCUGCGAGUUGUGGUGUCUGGCAAGGUUAAGCUAACGCGAAGCCGUAGCGAAAGCGAGUCUGAAUAGGGCGCUAAGUCAGAUGCUGCAGACCCGAAACGAAGUGAUCUAUCCAUGAGCAGGUUGAAGCUAGUGUAAGAACUAGUGGAGGACCGAACCCGCUAGCGUUGAAAAGCUAUGGGAUGACUUGUGGAUAGGGGUGAAAGGCCAAUCAAACUUCGUGAUAGCUGGUUCUCUCCGAAAUAUAUUUAGGUAUAGCGUUGUGUCGUAAUAUAAGGGGGUAGAGCACUGAAUGGGCUAGGGCAUACACCAAUGUACCAAACCCUAUCAAACUCCGAAUACCUUAUAUGUAAUCACAGCAGUCAGGCGGCGAGUGAUAAAAUCCGUCGUCAAGAGGGAAACAACCCAGACUAACAGCUAAGGUCCCCAAAUCUUACUUAAGUGGAAAACGAUGUGAAGUUACUUAAACAACCAGGAGGUUGGCUUAGAAGCAGCCAUCCUUUAAAGAAAGCGUAAUAGCUCACUGGUCUAGUGAUUUUGCGCGGAAAAUAUAACGGGGCUAAAGUAAGUACCGAAGCUUUAGACUUGCACACAACUUAGAUG
This 1124-nucleotide ribosomal RNA is filed under the name Campylobacter jejuni. RNAcentral describes it as "partial 23S ribosomal RNA". It matches the Rfam family "Bacterial large subunit ribosomal RNA", at positions 80 to 1221 of the family's 2925-position model. Lineage: Bacteria; Pseudomonadati; Campylobacterota; Epsilonproteobacteria; Campylobacterales; Campylobacteraceae. The record is from RNAcentral.